CGAACGGGUGAGUAACACGUAGGGAACCUGCCCGCGCACCGGGAAUACGCUCUGGAAACGGAGAACAAAUCCCGAUGUACAGGAAGGAGGCAUCUUCUUUCUGUGAAACAUCCUUUAGGGGAUGGGGCGCGGAUGGACCUGCGGUGCAUUAGUUGGUUGGCGGGGUAAAGGCCCACCAAGACGAUGAUGCAUAGCCGGCCUGAGAGGGCGGACGGCCACAUUGGGACUGAGACACGGCCCAGACUCCUACGGAAGGCAGCAG
Molecule: ribosomal RNA, 262 nt
Filed under: uncultured bacterium
Lineage: Bacteria
Description: partial 16S ribosomal RNA
Rfam family: Bacterial small subunit ribosomal RNA
Source: RNAcentral